This is a non-coding RNA of Parachaetomium inaequale, 104 nucleotides long. NCBI's taxonomy places the organism in Eukaryota, Fungi, Ascomycota, Sordariomycetes, Sordariales, Chaetomiaceae. The record is from the annotation of a GenBank genome assembly.
GGCCGGUUGGCCCAAUGGUAGGGCGUUGCUUUCCGGUCUCUGAACACGAUUCCUCGUGUUCUCACCGCUGGCAAAGAUUCUGGGUUCGAUCCCCAGGCUGGUCG